CUUACACACAAACACAUACAUGUCCCCACACAGAUACAAAACUUUCCUCAACCUCUUGGAAUCUCAAAAAAUAGUGGUUUCUUUUGUUUAUUGAAUUCCAGUUCUUCGAACAGGGCUAGAAACUACAACUAUAAAACAGAGUUUGAACAAAUUUAUUAUGCCAGUGCUCGCUCAUUAUCAUUUUGUAGAUUUGAAAUAGUAUCUCAAUUCUC
Molecule: unclassified non-coding RNA, 212 nt
Filed under: Hevea brasiliensis (rubber tree)
Lineage: Eukaryota; Viridiplantae; Streptophyta; Magnoliopsida; Malpighiales; Euphorbiaceae
Source: RNAcentral